GCGGGUGUAGUUCAAUGGUAGAACACCAGCCUUCCAAGCUGGUCGUGAGGGUUCGAUUCCCUUCACCCGCU
This 71-nucleotide transfer RNA is filed under the name Candidatus Pelagibacterales bacterium. RNAcentral describes it as "tRNA-Gly". It matches the Rfam family "tRNA". From Rfam's summary of the family: Transfer RNA (tRNA) molecules are approximately 80 nucleotides in length. Their secondary structure includes four short double-helical elements and three loops (D, anti-codon, and T loops). Lineage: Bacteria; Pseudomonadati; Pseudomonadota; Alphaproteobacteria; Candidatus Pelagibacterales. The record is from RNAcentral.